CCUACGGGAGGCAGCAGUGAGGAAUAUUGGUCAAUGGGCGCGAGCCUGAACCAGCCAAGUAGCGUGAAGGAUGACUGCCCUAUGGGUUGUAAACUUCUUUUAUAAAGGAAUAAAGGUAUGCACGUGUGCCUGUUUGUAUGUACUUUAUGAAUAAGGAUCGGCUAACUCCGUGCCAGCAGCCGCGGUAAUACGGAGGAUCCGAGCGUUAUCCGGAUUUAUUGGGUUUAAAGGGAGCGUAGAUGGGUUGUUAAGUCAGUUGUGAAAGUUUGCGGCUCAACCGUAAAAUUGCAAUUGAAACUGGCAGCCUUGAGUGUAGUUGAGGUAGGCGGAAUUCGUGGUGUAGCGGUGAAAUGCUUAGAUAUCACGAAGAACUCCGAUUGCGAAGGCAGCUUACUAAACUACAACUGACACUGAUGCUCGAAAGCGUGGGUAUCAAACAGGAUUAGAUACCCUUGUAGUC
Molecule: ribosomal RNA, 460 nt
Filed under: uncultured bacterium
Lineage: Bacteria
Description: partial 16S ribosomal RNA
Rfam family: Bacterial small subunit ribosomal RNA
Source: RNAcentral